This 379-nucleotide RNase P RNA is filed under the name uncultured Flexilinea sp. RNAcentral describes it as "Bacterial RNase P class A". It matches the Rfam family "Bacterial RNase P class A". From Rfam's summary of the family: Ribonuclease P (RNase P) is a ubiquitous endoribonuclease, found in archaea, bacteria and eukarya as well as chloroplasts and mitochondria. Its best characterised activity is the generation of mature 5'-ends of tRNAs by cleaving the 5'-leader elements of precursor-tRNAs. The record is from RNAcentral. Lineage: Bacteria; Bacillati; Chloroflexota; Anaerolineae; Anaerolineales; Anaerolineaceae.
GUUGAUCAGAUGAUCGCGGCACGGCGUGGCCGGGCCGAGGAAAGUCCGCACUCCUUAGAGCAAGAUGCCGGAUAACGUCCGGGGCGGGGCAACUUGCCGGAAAAGGGCCACAGAAAAUAGACCGCCUCGCAAGAGGUAAGGGUGAAAAGGUGGUGUAAGAGACCACCGGCGUAAGUGGUAACACUGCGGCCGGGUAACCCCCAUCUGGAGCAAGGCCAAGCAGGGGCGAAGCAUGACGCGUUCAUGCGGGGAUCUGCUCGAUCCCAUUGAGCUCCGGGUAGGCUGCUAGAGUCGUACGGUAACGUGCGUCCAAGAGAGAUGGUCAUCUCAGACGGGAGACUCGAGAAACUUCCUCUGAACAGAAUGCGGCUUAUAGAUC